AUGCAGACGAGUUCCAAAUAGGACGAGACGCGCGUCAUGGAU
RNAcentral lists this non-coding RNA (42 nucleotides) under Schistosoma margrebowiei. The record is from RNAcentral. Lineage: Eukaryota; Metazoa; Platyhelminthes; Trematoda; Strigeidida; Schistosomatidae.